CGGGGUGUUAGGGCACGACACCGGANAGGGAGCCUGAGAAACGGCUACCACAUCCAAGGAUGGCAGCAGGCGCGCAAAUUACCCAAUCCCGACACGGGGAGGUAGUGACAAUAAAUAACAAUACGGGGUUCUUUAGGAUUUCGUAAUCGGAAUGAGUACAAUUUAAAUCUCUUAACGAGGAACAAUUGGAGGGCAAGUCUGGUGCCAGCAGCCGCGGUAAUUCCAGCUCCAAUAGCGUAUAUUAAAGUUGUUGCAGUUAAAAAGCUCGUAGUUGAAUUUCGGGGUCAGUAGGUUGGUCAUGCCACUGGUAUGUACUGGUCUCACUGAUUCCUCCUUCCUGAUGAGCCGUAAUGCCAUUAAUUUGGUGUUGCGAGGAAUCUGACUGUUACUUUGAAAAAAUUAGAGUGUUUAAGGCAGGCUAACGCUUGAAUACAUUAGCAUGGAAUAAUGAAGUAGGACGUUCGAUCUUGUUUUGUUGGUUUCUAAGAUUGACGUAAUGAUUAAUAGGGAUAGUUGGGGGCAUUAGUAUUCAAUUGUCAGAGGUGAAAUUCUUGGAUUUAUUGAAGACUAACUACUGCGAAAGCAUUUGCCAAGGAUGUUUUCAUUAAUCAAGAACGAAAGUUAGGGGAUCGAAGACGAUCAGAUACCGUCGUAGUCUUAACCAUAAACUAUGCCGACUAGGGAUCGGAUGAU
Molecule: ribosomal RNA, 693 nt
Filed under: uncultured Glomeromycotina
Lineage: Eukaryota; Fungi; Glomeromycota
Description: SSU rRNA
Rfam family: Eukaryotic small subunit ribosomal RNA
Source: RNAcentral